AUAAUGACAAUGCCAAGGAGUAGUAAUAAAUUAUUUCAGGAAUAGAGAGGCAAUGGUAGGUGGAAAUUGUCCCUGUUUAUUUAUGAACUCGCCUUGAGCUGUUGCAGGAGCGAAAAUUGCAGAGUAGUUUCUGACGUAUGUCCUCGUUACGGAUUUCAAGUGAAUGCUGAUGAGCAUUAAAAUGGGUGGUACCGCGGGUGAAAGCAUCUCGUCCCUUCU
This 219-nucleotide non-coding RNA is filed under the name Virgibacillus chiguensis. Its description in RNAcentral is "T-box sequence". It matches the Rfam family "T-box leader". Rfam says of the family: Uncharged tRNA acts as the effector for transcription antitermination of genes in the T-box leader family. The record is from RNAcentral. Lineage: Bacteria; Bacillati; Bacillota; Bacilli; Caryophanales; Bacillaceae.